This 475-nucleotide ribosomal RNA is filed under the name uncultured bacterium. Its description in RNAcentral is "partial 16S ribosomal RNA". It matches the Rfam family "Bacterial small subunit ribosomal RNA", at positions 29 to 523 of the family's 1533-position model. The record is from RNAcentral.
AAUGAACGUUGGCGGCGUGGAUUAGGCAUGCAAGUCGCGCGGACCAGCAAUGGUUAGCGGCGAAAGGGAGAGUAACGCGUGGGUUAUCUGCCUCUUGGACCGGGAUAGCUGCGGGAACCUGCAGGUAAUACCGGAUAACGUCUUUGGACCAAAGGUGUGAUUCCGCCGAGAGAUGAGCCCGCGUCCUAUUAGCUAGUUGGCGAGGUAAUGGCUCACCAAGGCUUAGAUGGGUAGGGGGUGUGGGAGCACGACCCCCCUCACUGGGACUGAGACACUGCCCAGACACCUACGGGUUGCUGCAGUCGAGGAUCUUCGGCAAUGGGCGAAAGCCUGACCGAGCGACGCCGCGUGUGGGAUGAAGGCCUUCGGGUUGUAAACCACUGUCGUAGAGGAGGAAAUUCUGGGGGGUUCUCCCCUCGGUUUGACCUAUUCUAGGAGGAAGUCAGGGCUAAGUUCGUGCCAGCCGCCGCAGUAA